This is a long non-coding RNA of Nerophis ophidion (straightnose pipefish), 1040 nucleotides long. RefSeq lists it as uncharacterized. The transcript has 3 exons. The record is from RefSeq and is a predicted model, not a curated record. Lineage: Eukaryota; Metazoa; Chordata; Actinopteri; Syngnathiformes; Syngnathidae.
CACACACACACACACACACACACACACACACACACACACACACACAUUCGUACGCACUGAAACAACUUCCGUACCUCACGAAAACAUAUUUAAACAGAUGGAAAAAACUAUCGCAGAACACAGUGUCACGUAGCAACUGGUCUUUACGGUCGUUUGAAUCAACAGGUCAGUUUGGGGGACAAAAGGAGGGUUCAGUUUUUACUGACUUCCCAUCUGACAGUUUAAAUGUUUAUGACCGUUUGAAUCAACAGGACACGCACGCACACACACACACACGCACGCACACACACACACACACACACAUACACACACACACGCACACACACACACACACACACACACACACACACACACCAUUACCUCUGCUUUACCAUGUUAUUAGACAUUGGUUUAACUCCAUUUAAGCAUUUAAACGUUAAAAGCAUUGCACUUGUACGACGUUGUAAUACUUUUUUUUUACCAGCCGAUGACGACGAAGUGAAAGACGAUGAACUUUGCUUAAACAGUCUUACAAAGUUGGAAGAUGAUUAUCGAGGUGUGUUUAAACCUUCGAAUUAUUUAAUAUUGUGUGUAUUCAUUAUUUUGUUUUAUAGAGGAUUUGCCGUAAGAUCCUAACGCGAUCGUUUUAACACAAUCGCAGUCUGCUGGCGGGUCCGUCAACGGCCGUUCCAGGCAGAGGAGAAGGCUUGAUUGUGCCAAAGACUCCAGACAUCGAAUCCUUGCUCCGAGGGGAAAUCAUCGAAAACGACGGUGAAUGUCCAACAGGCACCCGCUAUUGGUAACACUGGACAAGUCGGAUAUCCUUGCUUGGAUCCUUUUAAAGUUGCCCGAUAAACUGCUGAGAGUUGAUCUCUCCUCUUGUCCAAAGGUUUUUCGUUCAUUUUUACUUGUAAUACUGGCACUAGGGUUGAUGUAGUAGCUCCACAACAUAACCUUAAAGCCUGUGACUGGAUCCGGUCUAUUUUCCCAAGUCAUGUUUUUGAAGCAGAUUGGUAAAUAAUGCAUCCGUAAUCAAUAACAGAUGGAAUUAAAGUUAUAAA